This 660-nucleotide ribosomal RNA is filed under the name Perenniporia hainaniana. RNAcentral's name for it is "eukaryotic LSU rRNA". The stretch from base 244 to 397 matches the Rfam family "5.8S ribosomal RNA". Lineage: Eukaryota; Fungi; Basidiomycota; Agaricomycetes; Polyporales; Polyporaceae. The record is from RNAcentral.
CGCUUACGUUACGGAGUAUCAUGUAUGUGACAAUAUUAUACAGGGUUGUAGCUGGCCUUCCGAGGCAAUGUGCACGCCCUUGUUCAUCCACUCUCUACACCUGUGCACUUACUGUGGGUUUCAGUUGAAUGAAGCGAGCCUUUUAAAUUAAAGGGCUUGUGGAAUUUAUUCUGUGCCUGCGUUUAUCACAUUAAACUCCAUUGUAUCAGAAUGUGUAUAUUGCGAUGUAACGCAUCUAUGUACAACUUUCAGCAACGGAUCUCUUGGCUCUCGCAUCGAUGAAGAACGCAGCGAAAUGCGAUAAGUAAUGUGAAUUGCAGAAUUCAGUGAAUCAUCGAAUCUUUGAACGCACCUUGCGCUCCUUGGUAUUCCGAGGAGCAUGCCUGUUUGAGUGUCAUGAAAUAUUCAAUCUACAAGUCUUUGCUUUGUAGUUUUGGAUUUGGAGGCUUGCCGGUUUGUAUUUGACAAACUGGCUCCUCUUAAAUGCAUUAGCUUGAUUUCUUGCAGAUCAGCUCUUGGCGUGAUAAUUGUCUACGCCGUGGCUGUGAAGUGCUUGGCGAGCUUCUAGUUGUCUUGCAUAAGACAUUUAUUGAGCUCUGACAUCUCAUCACGUAUGACAACACGCUGAGAUUAUACAUAUCAAAAAGGGGGAAAAAAAAA